This 253-nucleotide ribosomal RNA is filed under the name uncultured bacterium. Its description in RNAcentral is "partial 16S ribosomal RNA". It matches the Rfam family "Bacterial small subunit ribosomal RNA", at positions 524 to 776 of the family's 1533-position model. The record is from RNAcentral.
UACGGAGGGGGCAAGCGUUGUUCGGAAUUACUGGGCGUAAAGGGCUCGUAGGCGGCCAACUAAGUCGGAUGUGAAAUCCCCAGGCUCAACUUGGGAACUGCAUCCGAUACUGGAUGGCUUGAAUUCGGGAGAGGGAUGCAGAAUUCCAGGUGUAGCGGUGAAAUGCGUAGAUAUCUGGAGGAAUACCGGUGGCGAAGGCGGCAUCCUGGACCAUAACUGACGCUGAGGCGCGAAAGCUAGGGGAGCAAACGGG